Molecule: transfer RNA, 85 nt
Filed under: Enterobacteriaceae bacterium JKS000233
Lineage: Bacteria; Pseudomonadati; Pseudomonadota; Gammaproteobacteria; Enterobacterales; Enterobacteriaceae
Also listed under: 1 other name
Description: tRNA-Ser
Rfam family: tRNA
About the family: Transfer RNA (tRNA) molecules are approximately 80 nucleotides in length. Their secondary structure includes four short double-helical elements and three loops (D, anti-codon, and T loops).
Source: RNAcentral
GGAGAGAUGGCCGAGUGGCUUAAGGCAACGGUCUUGAAAACCGUCGAUGGGAAACCAUCCCAGAGUUCGAAUCUCUGUCUCUCCG